Brachyspira sp. CAG:700 is the source of this 95-nucleotide non-coding RNA. The record is from Rfam. NCBI's taxonomy places the organism in Bacteria, Pseudomonadati, Spirochaetota, Spirochaetia, Brachyspirales, Brachyspiraceae.
UAAUGGGCUUCUGCGGCAAUUCCUGAUGAAUCCGCCAGGUUCGGAAGGAAGCAACGGUAAGUCAAUCGAAUUGGGCGCCAGUUUGCCUAUUAUAA